UGGCUCUUUUAGAAUGAGUAGAAUUUCAAUGGGCUGAGAAUUGGGGAAAAUAUUUAGGGGAGGAAAAUGGCCUAAGAAUGGUGGGGAGGUGGAAGAGAGGCAUGCAUCUGAGUCAUUUUGCUCUUGAGGAUUUUAAUAUAACUUGAUUAUCUGUAUUUCUGAAUAAGUAUUUAAAAAAGGUAAAAGCAAAAAGACAUGCAUGUAAUGGACUGAUAAAUAAAAGGGAAAUAGUGGGAGCAUUAUACUGGGAGAAUCAUAGUCUUCCCAUUCCAAGAGGAAACUGCAUAUUAGAGGAAAGUAAUGUUAGACAUGUCUUGUGUGACAGCUGGGGCAGACUGUCACUCUGGACUCUGAUUAGACAUUUCAUCCAUGGACAGUAUCCUCCGUGAUGAGCCCUAGACACAUCUAAACCUUCUGUUUCUCAUUUUUGCUAAAGGGAACAAAGUAAUUUGAACUUUAGACAAGGGAGUUAGAAUGUAUUCUCAAAGGUGAAACUUCUGCCAACAUUCCUUCUCUUUCCAUCAGCCUCUCUCUACAACAAAACUGGGUAUAUCUGCAAAAUAAAAUGUAAAUGUUUUUGGUUAGUCUGGCUUUUUGGCUUAUUUGAGGUCUCCAGAAUAGACUCUAUCUACCUUAGCAAUCUAUUUAUUUAAAGUGUUGGACAACUCAGGGCAGGAAUGAUGCUUGCAGGCAGCGUCAGCUGAGAGUAGCAGUGGUAGCUUCUGCUUAUUGAAAUUAAAGAUGAGAUUUUAAAGGCAGGGUUUUGGAGACAUGACUUAUUAAGGCUAUGUAAUAGACGAUUAUAUCAUUAUUUUAGAUUUCAUUGAUUAUUAUAAUUAUUAUUUUCUGAAAAGCAUUAAUUUCAAUAUGGCCAUUGAACCCAGUUUAUAAUUAAUACUAUAAUUUAAACCAAAUUGAGUGCCCAUUUAGUUCAAAAAACAUAAAAGGACUCACAGUGGUCAGCCUCAGGGGAGAAAUCAUAGUUCUAAAGGGCCUUGGAGCAACUAAUUAGAUAGUUUUAGGGGGAAAAAAAGAACACGUCAAAAGGGUUCAUCCUUUGAGCUCUGUCUACUGUGUGUUUCACAUUACACUUUGUCUUAUUUUUCAGAUAUAUGGAAGUCGGAGUCCUUCUCCAAUAAGAUGUACAUUGCCAAGUAAGCAGGAUAGUUAAGACGGAUUGAGUUUUCUGCUUUUGAAUACUCUUCCUAGUAUUCAGCAUUGUGCAGCACCAUGAGUGUUUGGCUCCUUAGAGAAUAUCCUUUCCCUUCCUAUCAUCCAUUUCUGGGUCCUCUCACGGAUGGGACCCAUGCCGGAAGAGCCUCUAGUUGAGAGGUUUAAUUGCUGUAAACCUAGAUCAAUCACCCCUUUUACGUUUAUAUACUUCCAAAAGAAAACUCUAAGGAACUGGCCAUAGUGAUGAACUGUUUGUUUUUCUCCACAGGGUUUUAAAACCACCACGGGUGGUCCUAUGCCACCGCAUGUAGUGCAUCAUUGCAGCCACCUUUCCCCUGGGCCUCCUGCUGCCUGCCUUGUCUGCCUCCGACUUCAAUUAGCAUGAUGUGAACUGGCAUUCUGUGUAUCCCUCUACACACAGAGUUAAAUGUUUUGGCUUAGCGCAUCUGUAAUUUUAGAUAUAUUGCAUUUUAUUUUAUUUUAUAGGUACAAAUUCCAUUAAUUUCAUAAAAAAACGAUUGCAUAGGCAUUUAGGAUCAUAUUCAUUUGAAGCAAAGUCCAUUACAAAGAUUCAGGAUUUCCAUCUUGAAAUACUAGGUUCUUUUAUAGCAACUAUAUGAACAAGAGUGCAAAGUCUUUAACAUGCUGAAUCCAAAAGAAAGGGCAUUUUAGCUUAUAGGUUGAUCAUACAUGUUAUAAUUGUUAGUAUCAGCUUUUAACCUGAAAAAAAAAUGGGUGCUCUAAUUGCAUUUUAAGGUUUGGAAGACAACACCAAUCAUAUUAGUAGCAGUGAUGUAAGACUAAGUGUAACCUGUAAUAAUUUAAAAGUAUGUCACUUUGUUGGCUUGCUUUUCUGUUUUUGCUUUGAGAGUUACCCAUUUUGGCUUUGUGGAGUACCAAAUGUGGAAGUCACUUAGUUGAGAAGUUUCUUGCUUCAUAAACACAGAGCAGUAAUUUGAUUAGAUGCGGCUUUGAGAUAAAUGUUGAUCACCUUGCAUUAUCUACUUAGAAAUGUCUUAAACAGUUUAAAUGCACAUGUUAAAUAUACAAGUUACCUAUGGUACCUGUUCUUUACCUAUUCUUCCUCCUAUAAACUCCAACUGACUAAAAAUACUAGAACUUAAGAAGUAAAACUCAGGGCAUCAUUUAUCUAUUUUAAAUUGAGCUUUUCUCGCUUGACUUGUUUACUGUGAAGUACUCUUGAAAGUUCACAUUCAAGAUAAUAAAGAACUGUGAUUUCUCUAGAAGCAUGAUGUUCUUUCUGCCCUGCCUCCUCUUCUCAAUCCAUCCUUACACCUGAGCCCUUACCAUUGACUGCUGUUUCCAUACACCUUUUAGAGAGAAAUUUUGAAUUGGACACAUCUUAGUUUGCUGAAGUUCAGUACCUGAUGCUUUUCAGAUGGGUAGAACAAAAAACUUCUCUAGAGCAUCUUGCCCCUGUCCUGGGCGUGGGAGGACUUCCUUAGUCUCUUUUCUUUGAAUCCAAUGGCCACUGAUCUCUCUGAGGUGUGAAUUUAAUUUUCUCUUUGUGCAUUUAUGGCAUCACCUUUUUGAGAUCUCGUGGUGUGUUGGAAGGAGCACUAGGUGUCCCCUAGGUAGCUCCUAGAAUCCCUCUGGUCAUUAGCUUGCUUUGUGGGCUUGAGCAAGUUAUAUCAACUCUCUGAACCUCAGUUUCAUUGUAGAGUGAGAGUGCUGGAUGAAAUUAGUGCUUCUUUUAACCCUGUCAGGCUUAAUCUCUCUUUUAUAGCAAAUAUUUUAUUCUGGAUAUCCUGAGAUGAAAGCCAAAGUUAAUAUAAUCUAUGUACACAUAGAAUUUUAACAAUGGAUAUAGUACCCCAAACUGUAAAAUAAAACAGAGGGAAAGCAAAGCAAAUUUAAUAAAAUGUAUUUAAAAAUUUUAAAAGAAUGGGUAUAGUUACCCUAGAAGAUAAGGUGUUCGAUGCUUUUAUGCAAUACCUGCCUGUGGAAUCACUAGCUACAGCUGCAGAUUGAUGUGUGUUGUGUUGGCAGCAGAAGAUGUUAGUGUUGUCAUUAGAUACAACUUUCUGAAGUGGAAAGGGUCAUAUUAAAAGGGUACAAUUAGUUGGCUUGCUUGGUAAUGUUUUGAACAACAACAACAACAACAAAUAGUCUUGCUUGACUUGUACAGCAAAUUGCACUCCUGGACAAUUUAUUAUAUAUUAAAACCAUGCAAUUAGUUACUUUGUGUUAUGUGUUGAAAGAUUUUUUUUCUGAAGUGUAAGCAAUGAGAAUGCCUAUGUGCCAUAAUUUCUUUUCAGGAGACAGAUGUAUACUCUAAUUUGGAAAAAGGUCACACAGCUCAAUUAUUUGCUUUUGGUCCAGUCUGGCCACUUGCCAUUUCUCAAGUUUCUGAUUUGAACUCUAACUAUAGAGGGAAAGUGGAAUAGUCUAGAAUUGUUUUUGGAAAGAAUCUGUGAAACCAAAGGAAGCUGAUCUGGACUUAUUUCAUCUGGGUAUGUGACUUAACUUAGAAACACUGAAAAUGAAAAAAAAAAAACUUGUUUUUUUUUUUUUACCCUGGGUAAAUGUUAGUUUCUAUAUUAUUGGAUUAACAUCUAAUAAUAAAAUCAAUAAAAA
RNAcentral lists this long non-coding RNA (3771 nucleotides) under Marmota monax (woodchuck). The record is from RNAcentral. Lineage: Eukaryota; Metazoa; Chordata; Mammalia; Rodentia; Sciuridae.